This 235-nucleotide ribosomal RNA is filed under the name uncultured bacterium. RNAcentral describes it as "partial 16S ribosomal RNA". It matches the Rfam family "Bacterial small subunit ribosomal RNA", at positions 15 to 240 of the family's 1533-position model. The record is from RNAcentral.
GAUCAUGGCUCAGGAUGAACGCUAGCUACAGGCUUAACACAUGCAAGUCGAGGGGCAGUCAUCAUCAAAGCUUGUCUUUGAUGGAUGGCGACCGGCGCACGGGUGAGUAACACGUAUCCAACCUGCCGACAACACUGGGAUAGCCUUUCGAAAGAAAGAUUAAUACCGGAUGGCAUAGUUUUCCCGCAUGGGAUAAUUAUUAAAGAAUUUCGGUUGUCGAUGGGGAUGCGUUCCA